This is a non-coding RNA of Acyrthosiphon pisum (pea aphid), 77 nucleotides long. The record is from RefSeq and is marked provisional. NCBI's taxonomy places the organism in Eukaryota, Metazoa, Arthropoda, Insecta, Hemiptera, Aphididae.
AACCUCGCUGUGUUAACUUGUCAUGUUAUUUCGAUAAUUAUUCGAUGAAAUCAGAGUGAACACAGCUGGUGGUAUCU